AGGACGAACGCUGGCGGCGCGCUUAACACAUGCAAGUCGAGCGAGAACCGGGACUUCGGUCCCGGGGACAGCGGCGAACGGGUGAGUAACACGUGGGUAAUCUGCCCUCGAUUCUGGGAUAGCCCGGGGAAACUCGGAUUAAUACCGGAUAGCCUUUCAAGCCUUCGGGCGUGAAAGAAAAGGUAGCUUCGGCCUCCGAUCGAGGAUGAGCCCGCGGUGGAUUAGCUUGUUGGCGGGGUAAUGGCCCACCAAGGCGACGAUCCAUAGCUGGUCUGAGAGGACGAUCAGCCACACUGGGACUGAGACACGGCCCAGACUCCUACGGGAGGCAGCAGUGGGGAAUAUUGGACAAUGGGCGCAAGCCUGAUCCAGCCAUGCCGCGUGAGUGAUGAAGGCCCUAGGGUUGUAAAGCUCUUUCGACGGGGACGAUAAUGACGGUACCCGUAGAAGAAGCCCCGGCUAACUUCGUGCCAGCAGCCGC
Molecule: ribosomal RNA, 481 nt
Filed under: uncultured bacterium
Lineage: Bacteria
Description: SSU rRNA
Rfam family: Bacterial small subunit ribosomal RNA
Source: RNAcentral